Molecule: unclassified non-coding RNA, 565 nt
Filed under: Pseudogymnoascus carnis
Lineage: Eukaryota; Fungi; Ascomycota; Leotiomycetes; Thelebolales; Thelebolaceae
Description: sequence contains 18S rRNA gene, ITS1, 5.8S rRNA gene, ITS2, 28S rRNA gene
Rfam family: 5.8S ribosomal RNA (bases 215-368)
Source: RNAcentral
GUAACAAGGUUUCCGUAGGUGAACCUGCGGAAGGAUCAUUACAGUAGUCACCCGGGUUGCCGCAAGGCCUCUCGGGUAACCUACCACCCUUUGUUUAUUACACUUUGUUGCUUUGGCAGGCCUGCCUUCGGGCUGCUGGCUCCGGCCGGCGAGCGCUUGCCAGAGGAUCUAAACUCUGUUUGUCUAUACUGUCUGAGUACUAUAUAAUAGUUAAAACUUUCAACAACGGAUCUCUUGGUUCUGGCAUCGAUGAAGAACGCAGCGAAAUGCGAUAAGUAAUGUGAAUUGCAGAAUUCAGUGAAUCAUCGAAUCUUUGAACGCACAUUGCGCCCCCUGGUAUUCCGGGGGGCAUGCCUGUCCGAGCGUCAUUACAACCCUCAAGCUCUGCUUGGUGUUGGGCCCCGCCGCCCCGGCGGGCCCUAAAGUCAGUGGCGGUGCCAUCCGGCUCCGAGCGUAGUAAUUCUUCUCGCUCUGGAGGUCCGGUUGUGUGCUUGCCAUCAACCCCCAAUUUUUUUCAGGUUGACCUCGGAUCAGGUAGGGAUACCCGCUGAACCUAAGCAUAUCA